Non-coding RNA from Malus domestica (apple), 76 nucleotides. NCBI's taxonomy places the organism in Eukaryota, Viridiplantae, Streptophyta, Magnoliopsida, Rosales, Rosaceae. The record is from RefSeq and is marked provisional.
UGAUCUAUCCUAUUUUCGAUAUCGUUGGGUUUCGCCCGUUCAAUGUGUUCCAAAGAAAUCCGGAGUAACUGUGGUG